AGAAAAUAGCUAAGGAUAUUGGUGUUCCACCUGAAAAUUGUAAAUCUGAGAAUCAAGAGUCUUGAUAUUGAGCUCUAUUGCUGCAUCUGAACUUUCUCCUGAUAUGUUGCUUGUACUAGAUCCAUCAUUGGAGUACUGAUUUGCCAUAAUACCUCAGCACAGCAAGAUUCUUUUCUUUUUCUCCCCUUUUUAGGUGUGGAGAAUCUGAAAAUGAGGAUGAAGAUUAGAUUGUGAUUUUUUUUAUUUGAUCACCGAAACGAUCACAGUAGGCGGGAUUGAGAGAUGACUUUCGGCCGAAGCUAAAGCUAAGAUCUUUUCUGGAUUCACCGAUGUUCUAGCCUACUUAGCCGGGUUAAGCUUGGGUUUAGAUUCCAGUACAAUCUAGACCAGGAAUCGAUCCAUUGACAGGAGUCAACCGUUUUAUU
This 425-nucleotide unclassified non-coding RNA is filed under the name Hevea brasiliensis (rubber tree). The record is from RNAcentral. Lineage: Eukaryota; Viridiplantae; Streptophyta; Magnoliopsida; Malpighiales; Euphorbiaceae.